RNAcentral lists this ribosomal RNA (492 nucleotides) under uncultured bacterium. RNAcentral's name for it is "partial 16S ribosomal RNA". It matches the Rfam family "Bacterial small subunit ribosomal RNA", at positions 29 to 507 of the family's 1533-position model. The record is from RNAcentral.
AGUGAACGCUGGCGGUAGGCCUAACACAUGCAAGUCGAACGGCAGCACAGUAAGAGCUUGCUCUUACGGGUGGCGAGUGGCGGACGGGUGAGGAAUACAUCGGAAUCUACUUUUUCGUGGGGGAUAACGUAGGGAAACUUACGCUAAUACCGCAUACGAACUACGGGUGAAAGAAGGGGAUCUUCGGACCUUUCGCGAUUGAAUGAGCCGAUGUCGGAUUAGCUAGUUGGCGGGGUAAAGGCCCACCAAGGCGACGAUCCGUAGCUGGUCUGAGAGGAUGAUCAGCCACACUGGAACUGAGACACGGUCCAGACUCCUACGGGAGGCAGCAGUGGGGAAUAUUGGACAAUGGGCGCAAGCCUGAUCCAGCCAUACCGCGUGGGUGAAGAAGGCCUUCGGGUUGUAAAGCCCUUUUGUUGGGAAAGAAAAGCAGCAGGUUAAUACCCCGCUGUUCUGACGGUACCCAAAGAAUAAGCACCGGCUAACUUCGUG